Molecule: ribosomal RNA, 681 nt
Filed under: uncultured dinoflagellate
Lineage: Eukaryota; Dinophyceae
Description: bacterial SSU rRNA
Rfam family: Bacterial small subunit ribosomal RNA
Source: RNAcentral
AGAAAGAACACCGGUGGCGAAAGCGCUCUACUGGAUCAUUACUGACACUCAGAGGCGAAAGCUAGGGUAGCAAAAGGGAUUAGAUACCCCUGUAGUCCUAGCCGUAAACGAUGGAUACUACAUGUUGCGUCUUUAAUGCAGUAUGGUAGCUAACGCGUUAAGUAUCCCGCCUGGGGAGUACGCUCGCAAGGCUGAAACUCAAAGGAAUUGACGGGGGCCCGCACAAGCGGUGGAGCAUGUGGUUUAAUUCGAUGCAACGCGAAGAACCUUACCAAGGCUUGACAUACUACAGAUUUCUUUGAAAGAGGAAAGUGCCUUCGGGAAUGUAGAUACAGGUGGUGCAUGGCUGUCGUCAGCUCGUGUCGUGAGAUGUUGGGUUAAGUCCCGCAACGAGCGCAACCCUUAUUUUUAGUUGCUAAUUUAUUUUAGGUUUUCUAGAAAGACUGCCGGUGACAAACCGGAGGAAGGUGAGGAUGACGUCAAGUCAGCAUGCCCCUUAUGCCUUGGGCUACACACGUGCUACAAUGGUUAAGACAAAGAGUUGCGAGCUCGUGAGAGUCAGCUAAUCUCAUAAACUUAGCCUAAGUUCGGAUUGUAGGCUGCAACUCGCCUGCAUGAAGUCGGAAUCGCUAGUAAUCGCUGGUCAGCCAUACAGCGGUGAAUCCGUUCCCGGGCCUUGUA